CAUGUCUUUUUGAUGAUAAUUUAAAGUCUGACCUGCCCUAUGAUAAAGUUUAUUAAAUGGCUGCGAUAGUUUGAUCGUACAAAGGUAGCAUAAUAAUUAGUUUUUUAAUUGAGAACUGGUAUGAAAGGUCGAACGAAAAAAAAACUGUCUCAAUUUAAUUUUCAUUAGAAUUUUAUUUUUAAGUAAGAAAGCUUAAAUAAUUUUAAAAGACGAGAAGACCCUAUAGAGUUUUAUAUUUAUAAGUUUAUUUUUUAGUUUUAGAAUUUAUUUUAUAAAUUGAUUAAUAAAUAUUUAAUUGGGGUGAUUAAAAAAUUAAAUGAACUUUUUUUAUAAAUUUAACAUUAAUAAAUGAUUAAAUGAUCCAUAUAUAAUGAUUAAAAGAUUAAAUUACCUUAGGGAUAACAGCGUAAUUUUUUUUAAGAGUUCUUAUCGAAAAAAAAGUUU
Molecule: ribosomal RNA, 444 nt
Filed under: Onthophagus rorarius
Lineage: Eukaryota; Metazoa; Arthropoda; Insecta; Coleoptera; Scarabaeidae
Description: partial 16S ribosomal RNA
Source: RNAcentral